UUGCUACUUCCACCUGAAAGGUACAUGGAUGUGCUUUGGUUGGGAAUGAGGCCAAGGCAGACAUCCAGGCCUACACAACUCAGUGGGAUAGGUGCACAGGGGCACGCCUCCACUUGUCAUAUAACCUGUUCGGGUAAGCUCAUACUUGGCUCAAUGCCACUAUUGUUUGGAAAGGUAUAACUGCCCCGCUGAUGCUGUACAGGUGCUCUUGUGCAGAUGCUUGUGCCCAGAAAGAGAGAGAGAAGAGAGAGCCAAAGCUACCCAUCUUGCCAGUGGACAAGAGGAAGCCAGGACACAGCUCUGCUCGCUCGUGCCCAGAGUGAGAAAGAGGAAGACACUACUGUCGGGGACCGUAUCCUUUACAGUAUGUGUUCCACCUACUGCUUCUGUGGAUUCUCUCCAAAACCAGUUCACAGCCACUUGAAAGGUAAUUUAAUAAAGCCCAUCUUGCCAAUAAUGUUCAGAUUUUCUUCAACACAAUUUAAUAAUCAUCCAG
RNAcentral lists this long non-coding RNA (496 nucleotides) under Callithrix jacchus (white-tufted-ear marmoset). RNAcentral's name for it is "lncRNA (ENSCJAG00000081515.1)". Lineage: Eukaryota; Metazoa; Chordata; Mammalia; Primates; Cebidae. The record is from RNAcentral.